This is a long non-coding RNA of Gasterosteus aculeatus aculeatus (three-spined stickleback), 3025 nucleotides long. The record is from Ensembl. Lineage: Eukaryota; Metazoa; Chordata; Actinopteri; Perciformes; Gasterosteidae.
GCGUCUUCCUUUAUAAAAUGAGUUGUAAUUUUUUAAGAGCGAGUAGAUGGACACAGUCAAAGUUGCAAUUGAUUUGAAAGGAAAUGGACAUUUUUGAGGAGAUGCCCGAGAGGGGAAAGACUUCAUUUUAAUCCCGUAUUCGCUUCACUGGUCUGGAACCUGAGCAGCUCUAUCGUCUAAGGUAAGAGGAAUUAAAUGUUUUUUUUUAAUGUUUAAUCUUAGCAUUCAAUGGAGAGAAUACCUAUGAAAGAGAAAGUGUGCAUAGGCUACUCAAAUCAUGCAUGAUUAACGCGCACACUCGCAGUGUGGAUUCAAUGAGGCCCAUAUUUAAAUAUAUCGUUAUAUGUAGGACAAAAAUAUUAAAUUACAUAACAAGUCAGCAUCACACAGAGAGCAACCUAAUUGGCACGAUAAGAUUGAAAAUAAAUUGAAUUGUGGAAACUUACGGACUCAAGGCGGCCGUCAGCUUCAGGCUGUGGUGACGGUUCGGGUAAAGAGGCAUCAGGUGGGACAGCCGUAGUGCUGGCCGCUGCAGGAGUGCUACAGCUGGCAAACACCGAAACACCAAAUGUUUCCUGUCCCAAAGACCGAGAAGAAGGCGUCGUACUCCAUCCGCUUGGUGGGCAUCCAGUCCUCAAAUACUGAAGUUCAUGUCCUCCAACGGUCCCACCUCAAUGACGUCAGUGUUCGCGGUUCACCGCUUGAGUAACUGAAAGAUUUGGGUGCGUUACAUUUGACGAAGAAGUGCAAGAAGAGCGGCUCAAUUUCUACGGUACCGCCUGUUAAUGCUUCAGGGAGCUGAUGAAUCUAAGAUGGAUACUUUUGACGAUGCCACUCUAUCGGUGUUGGAGGCUGCCAGUGUUGAUGAGGAGGCUUUGAAAGGCCUUAGCCGGGAUGACCUGAGGGAUCUUUUUCCUGGCCCAGAGAAUUUCCUCAAAAGAAAGAAACUUUGGAAUUUCAUCAGUGAAAAUUGUGAAAAUACCACGGACCAAGAUGCCAACAAUUGUGCCAUGCCACCAUGCCAGCCUCAAACCUCAACCCCCAUAUCUGCUGAGAAAAAAAUGAAAAUGCCAGACCCUCCAGAGUAUGUGGUGUACACAGAUUCAGAGUUAGACAUGGUGCGUAGUCAAUACUUUGCACUGCUCUGCAAUGGAAAGGAAAAAAAUUACAAACUGUCCAAGGAGCUAUGUUGCAGACUUGUAAGGAACACAAUAACCAGUAUGGUUGCUAUCCUGCGUGCUAGUCCCAUGGGGAAAGAAGUCAGUUACCCGUCAAAAUUGGAAAUAAGAGCCAUGUCACAGAAGAUUAUAGACUAUUACCCAAUGUUACGGGAUGAUGAUCCAAACAUGCCUUAUCUGACUAUCUACACCAAAAUGUACAAGCGACUCCAAAAUAUGAGAUCCCCACGGAAGAGGCAAGGCUCUGUACCACAAAGAGGAGUGGCAAAGACAGCUCUCUUCAGUGCAGACAACCAAGACAUGGAGACGGAUUGGACAGACACAAGCAACUCAAGUGAUAAUACCUUACUUCUUGAGAGCAAUGAUGACCUUACCGAGGACAACUCCAGUGAAGCAUUCCCAGCACAUCGACCCCCCUCUGUGCCAAGGAAGCCAAAGACCAAAACCUUCCUGCUGCCAUCCGCAUCAGCCUCAGGCUCCUCACUCAGGACUGUGAUCGCUUCACCAACCACGCCUGCAAAGGAUGAUGUUGUCGGCCAGGACAGUCUGAAAAUGCAGGCUAGGCACUACAAAACCUUGAGCAACAUGUACAAUAAGCCAAAUGCAAAACCCAAUCAAAGUGAUGUUGCUCAAGUUUUAGACCUUGAGUUUAAGGCCAGACGGGCUUUCAUUGAUGCAGAUGUUACAAGGGAAGAAGACCGACCUGCAAAAAUCUUUGAGGCAUAUCCAUGCUUUAGAGAUGUUCGAAAUGCAAUGGAUGAGCUGCGGCGCAUAGUAGGUGGCACCAACAGCAGAUACAUCGAGGAAGUGAAAGGAAGAUGGGCAGACUUUUGUGCCAAGGUGCAGUUCUAUGGUGUGUGGAAGAAAGCCCUGAAACCCCCCUUUCCAUUGGAUGUCCGUGGAGUGGAGUUCACGCUUGCCCUCUUCAAUGCACUCCCAUCCCUUUUCCCCUCACCAACUUCACCACCAAAGAAGCUUGGAAAUAGCUGUGAGGCACUUCUUCAUGUCCUGAAGUCAGGCGAAGACCCUGCCCUGUACCUGGAAAAGCAUCCUCUCUCCUCCCCAGUUCUGCUUUCUGAUGGCUCAACCACCAUUGUGGCUGUGGGUAAUGUACCUGUGACCACCCUCCCUCAGGAAGAUUUCUCAGACGGGAUGUUGGUGUUAAUGGCAUAUUACUACACUUUGCACUUAAGAUAUCCAAAAUGUGUUGCAACGCUCCUGUCAGUUAUUCAAACAGAGGUAAUUGGUGACACAAUCCACGAUCAAGAUGCCACUAGUGCUUACAGGAAAGCAAUGGCUGAUUGGAAGUCUUUCAUUGAGAAGUAGCUGAGUAUUUUGUCAUGCCAGUUCUUAUUGUUAGCUGUGAGUUCUUAUUGUUAGCUGUGCCUAAUAAUAGUUUUGUGUUGCACAAGCUUAUACAGUCACUGAGUUAUUACCUCAUUUAGGCCUGUAUUUAAAAUGAUAGUUAAGGAAAAAUCCAUAACUGAGGGCUGAGAAGUGUUUUUGUUUUUUGCCCUUUUGCUUUUAAUUUCUUUUAUUUUUAUGGAAAAGUAUUCAAAUGUCUAUAGCAAACUUGACUUGCUGAUGUUAAAUAAAUGUUGUCUUAAGCCAUGUUAUUUCUGCACCAUUAUUCUAAAAAAGGACAGGCUUUAGAUUUUAAGAUGCUCAAAGUAAGAAAACAAAAUGGGUAAUUGCUUAUAUUUAGUAUAUUUCACUUAUUUUGAGGCUGUAAAAGUUUAAAUUUAAGUAAUCUAGUCUUAAAAACAGCAUUUUAUGCUUAUAUUUAGUAUAUUUCACUUAUUUUGAGGCUGUAAAAGUUUAAAUUUAAGUAAUCUAGUCUUAAAAAC